RNAcentral lists this ribosomal RNA (253 nucleotides) under uncultured Oscillospiraceae bacterium. RNAcentral's name for it is "partial 16S ribosomal RNA". It matches the Rfam family "Bacterial small subunit ribosomal RNA", at positions 524 to 776 of the family's 1533-position model. The record is from RNAcentral. Lineage: Bacteria; Bacillati; Bacillota; Clostridia; Eubacteriales; Oscillospiraceae.
UACGUAGGGGGCAAGCGUUAUCCGGAUUUACUGGGUGUAAAGGGAGCGCAGACGGCAGUGCAAGUCUGGAGUGAAAGCCCGGGGCUCAACCCCGGGACUGCUUUGGAAACUGCAUAGCUGGAGUGCAGGAGAGGUAAGUGGAAUUCCUAGUGUAGCGGUGAAAUGCGUAGAUAUUAGGAGGAACACCAGUGGCGAAGGCGGUCUGCUGGACAGCAACUGACGCUGAGGCGCGAAAGCGUGGGGAGCAAACAGG